GACGAACCGUGCGAACGUUAUUCGGAAUCACUGGGCUUAAAGCGCGUGUAGGCGGGAGGGCACGUCCGUCGCUGAAAUCCCCCGGCUCAACCGGGGAACGGGCGCGGAUACGACCUUCCUGGAGGGGCGUAGGGGGACCUGGAACUUCCGGUGGAGCGGUGAAAUGCGUUGAGAUCGGAAGGAACGCCCGUGGCGAAAGCGGUCUGCUGGGCCGUUGCUGACGCUGAGGCGCGACAGCGUGGGGAGCAAACAGG
This 254-nucleotide ribosomal RNA is filed under the name uncultured bacterium. RNAcentral's name for it is "partial 16S ribosomal RNA". It matches the Rfam family "Bacterial small subunit ribosomal RNA", at positions 524 to 776 of the family's 1533-position model. The record is from RNAcentral.